AGCCUUUUAUGCCUUUAAGCCUUAAGCAUCCAUUAGCAUUUAGCCUUGUUUUUGUUUUCCAACAACUCGGUUUUCCCACCUUCAACUUCUUCUCUUCCAUUUUUCUCUUGCUUCCUCUUUCUUCUUUCUUCUUUCUUCCUUCUUUCUUCCUUCUUCCACCCACUCCUUCAAUUUCUUCCCACAAUCCCAUACUCUCUCUCACACACAUAGAUAUGAGCAGAAAUUCGAGUCCCAGACCGUCGGAUUUCCUCUCCUUUUCCGCUUCUCUUUCCCUACUUUUCGUCUCCGCUGUCUCUUAACACUUCUUUUGGUUGGCUACUACAGCCCUUUCUGAUGAUUCCAGUAAAAAAGACAGUACUCACUCUGGGAAUCAUCCAUCCUCUAGAAGCAGCACUGGUUCAAUGGUUGCCAUCAUCCUCCUUGGAAUUUUGGUAGUUGUGUUAUUAUCAUUUUUCCUUUUCAAGUUAUGGCAAAAGAAGAGAAGAGAAGAGCAAUAUGCCCGACUUCUUAAAUUAUUUGAAGAAGAUGAUGAACUUGAGGUUGAACUUGGUCUUCGGGAUUGAGAAUAUCUGAAAUUCUAGUUCACUUAAGUUUGGCUCAGAAACCAUUAUGUUGGAAUGGUUGCAUUUUAAAUGUCUAAAAGGUGGUGAGAUGAUAGAGUGAGUCUGUUGUAAGGUUAGAUUUUUUUUUGUUUGUUUUUUAUUUUUUAAAGAUUGGGGGUGGGGCAUAACCUUGUAAUUCCCAUAUUAUAAUGGAUAAUUUUGUAAGGAGUGGUUGAAGGAUACGAGUCCAGGUUUUGUAAAAUUGAUGUCAUAUAGAAAGUUUAAUGGUGAAAGCCGAAAGGGUUUUGACUAAAGCCUCAAAUAUUAUUCUAAAUAUGUUUGACUUUUUAAAAUGUAUUUCUAA
This is a long non-coding RNA of Cucumis sativus (cucumber), 906 nucleotides long. RefSeq lists it as uncharacterized. NCBI's taxonomy places the organism in Eukaryota, Viridiplantae, Streptophyta, Magnoliopsida, Cucurbitales, Cucurbitaceae. The record is from RefSeq and is a predicted model, not a curated record. The transcript has 3 exons.